This 1157-nucleotide long non-coding RNA is filed under the name Bos grunniens (domestic yak). Its description in RNAcentral is "lncRNA (ENSBGRG00000018315.1)". Lineage: Eukaryota; Metazoa; Chordata; Mammalia; Artiodactyla; Bovidae. The record is from RNAcentral.
CGCAGGCACGGCGGGCGCCGCGGGCACCACGGCGUCACUCAUUAAGUCCGAGCCGAGCGCGCGACCGUCGUUCAGCAUCGAGAAUAUCAUCGGAGGGGGCCCUGCGGCGCCCGGGGGCUCGGCCGCGGGUGCUGGGGGCGCCGGGGUAACUGGGGGCACCGCGGGUAGCGGAGGCGGUGGCGCCGCGCAGUCCUUCCUGCGGCCGCCCGGGACAGUGCAGUCGGCAGCGCUCAUGGCCACGCACCAGCCUCUUUCACUGAGUCGGACGACGGCGACCAUCGCGCCGAUUCUGAGCGUACCGCUCUCUGGACAGUUUCUGCAGCCUGCAGCCUCGGCUGCCGCUGCUGCCGCCGCCGCUGCUCAAGCCAAGUGGCCCGCUCAAUAGGGACGCGCUGGUGGCCGGGAUGCGGGGCCUGGCAGCGGCCUGGAUUGUCGGCUGCAAUUUGCAAGCUGCGCGCCCCGCCCCGCUCCUGGCCCCCCUGCCCAAUCCUGGACUCUGCCUCUCUUCCAUUUCCUCCCCCUCGACCCCUCAACACCGACCUUCGGCGGCCUCCACCCAGUCCUGCACACCUAGGCUGGCGGAGCAAACUCUCACUGCGCGCCCGCGGGGAAUAUCUUUCCGUACAGGCCCUGAAAGUUCUGUGACUUUCCCAAGGUCACUGGGCAGCCCAAGGAUAAGCCUUAGAAAUGCUCAGCGGAGGAAAAAUUGUUCUCUAUCCUGGAAAGACGCCGCACUUGAGGAAAGGAAAAAAGCGAACAGUGGCACAAAGAAGACUGGAAAGACUGGGGGUGCGGGGAGGGGGGCAGAGAGAAAGAAAAAAAAGACAAACGCAGAGAAACACUGGGCCGAGCUGAACUCAGUUCUGCAAAGGCCAAGACCUAGACCCAGUGCCACCCCGCGCGGCCCCGUAAGCCCGCUACGCCCAGACCCAUCCGCGCCGCGCCGCGCCUCUCGCCCAGAGCCAGGCGGUUCUUCGGCCACCUACGCCUCGAUCUCCCGGCCUCGUGAUUUGGGAAGGGAAGGACGAAGGCGGAAACUCCAGGCCCGAAGCUCAGAGGUCAGAGGUCCAGCCAUAUCGCUCAGGUCCCCACGAGUUGGUCCCCACCGGUGUCCCCAGCCCCUCCCACGCCGGGUCCACUUUGGCGCCAGCCACUAG